ACGGCUACCUUGUUACGACUUCACCCCAGUCACGAACCCUGCCGUGGUAAUCGCCCUCCUUGCGGUUAGGCUAACUACUUCUGGCAGAACCCGCUCCCAUGGUGUGACGGGCGGUGUGUACAAGACCCGGGAACGUAUUCACCGCGGCAAGCUGAUCCGCGAUUACUAGCGAUUCCGACUUCACGCAGUCGAGUUGCAGACUGCGAUCCGGACUACGACCGGGUUUCUGGGAUUAGCUCCCCCUCGCGGGUUGGCAGCCCUCUGUCCCGGCCAUUGUAUGACGUGUGUAGCCCUACCCAUAAGGGCCAUGAUGACCUGACGUCAUCCCCACCUUCCUCCGGUUUGUCACCGGCAGUCUCAUUAGAGUGCCCUUUCGUAGCAACUAAUGACAAGGGUUGCGCUCGUUGCGGGACUUAACCCAACAUCUCACGACACGAGCUGACGACGGCCAUGCAGCACCUGUGUCCAGGUUCUCUUUCGAGCACUCCCACAUCUCUG
RNAcentral lists this ribosomal RNA (498 nucleotides) under uncultured bacterium. RNAcentral's name for it is "partial 16S ribosomal RNA". The record is from RNAcentral.